GGACUGAAGCCUGGGGAUAAUUUUCUCGUGGUCGGCCGAGGAAGUGAAUCCUGCAAUCUGCACACGUCGUUUCAGAGAAGAUCACUAAGACAAAUGUUGAGUCAACAGCAAGGAAAUGGAAACGAAAGCAGAAUGGAAGGACAUGAGGCCCUCAUCCUUGGAGAUCCUAUGGAGUCUCCACAGACAUUCCUCGAAGAAAUCAGGUCAAAUGGCUGCUACAUGCCUUUGGAACAGGAGCGAUGAAUCACCCCACCCCCAGGGCUAGGAAGGAGGGUCAGAGCUAGCCUUACCACACAACCGACGAGGAGCCUGUCCUCUGAGUUAUCAUGCAUAAAAGACGCAACCCGCAGAAAGAUCGUCCCCACAUCAGGUCCCUUUUUCUAUUUCUGUUUUUCUGUUAAUCAAUUCUGAGUUCACCACAAUAAAAAUCUUUGAAGGGCUGAAUGCUUUUGAGACAAAUUCCCUCACCAGUGUGGGCUGUGAAUAGGAUCAAAAAGGAUGGCUGUGGAAGAAGGAUUCACAAAGGAGACCCUCACGGAAGGAAAAGAAAAAUCGAAGGAGAUACCUGUGUCCUGGAGAAGGAAAGCCGGAGGCGGGGAGGGGGGAAGAAGCCCGGGAAAUCUAUUGAUUUAAAAUGACAAGAUUGGGGAAAAUAGGCCCCAUGAUGAUUUUAUAGCUCUGUCUAUUGUCUAAAACCCAAAGAAGCCCUUUCACUCCCACGUUCGUGUGUGCAUAAAACGAUGUAUUAAACACCUCCGCUCUGCGAGGCUGUGUUGUGUGUCUUUGUCGGGUGAAGAAAGAAGGCUGGUACACCUUCCCAGAAUUCUCAUUGAAGAAAACAUCUGAUUUUUUACAUCUCUUGUGCAAAACAAACAAGGAUUUCAUUAAGUGAUGUGUAUUGUUUUCCAAGGAAGAACCCUGUAGAGACAAAAACAAAUAAGCAAAUAAAUGAAACAACCACACGAUAAAGACGACCCCCAAAUUCUUCCAGUGCUAAUUUACUUGUUAUCAUGGUUCUCUGCAAAGGCAGAGAUCACUAAUUACAGAUUUUUCCAGAAUUCACAUUUCAUGUCAAGAUCACCCAAUCCAAACAGUAUAUAAAAAGCCUAAGGCCUUCUCCUUUACGUUGCCCCCUACCCCGCCGUACACAUACGCCCCCAUCUAAAUGACACCCUUGGAAAGAAACCCACACAUCUCAUUUGCCUGUAUUUGGCUUCCUCCCUCGCCUCCCUGUAACCAAAUGUGAGUUGAUCUGUAACUGCACUGGAAAAUCAGAAUUUAUUGUACAUAUGUUUGUGUUCCACUUAAUAAAAAAACCUAGAUUUUAAGAUAAACUUUGUUAGUAAUUCAUGAGGUAAGUGACUAUUUAUGCUAAUCAGGCAGAAAUAUAUUCUCAAGCAUAAUGCAUUACAUAAAUUUGAAUGCAAAAUGUUCAAUUAUGAAGU
This is a long non-coding RNA of Cebus imitator (Panamanian white-faced capuchin), 1445 nucleotides long. RefSeq lists it as uncharacterized. Lineage: Eukaryota; Metazoa; Chordata; Mammalia; Primates; Cebidae. The transcript is spliced from 3 exons. The record is from RefSeq and is a predicted model, not a curated record.